AUAACUUUGUCAAAGUUAAAUUAUAGGUGAAAAUCCUUUAUGCCUCU
This 47-nucleotide transfer RNA is filed under the name Neomonachus schauinslandi (Hawaiian monk seal). Its description in RNAcentral is "transfer RNA-Asp". Lineage: Eukaryota; Metazoa; Chordata; Mammalia; Carnivora; Phocidae. The record is from RNAcentral.